This 393-nucleotide long non-coding RNA is filed under the name Hordeum vulgare. Its description in RNAcentral is "long non-coding RNA (HVUL_LNC006062)". The record is from RNAcentral. Lineage: Eukaryota; Viridiplantae; Streptophyta; Magnoliopsida; Poales; Poaceae.
CCUGACUGUCACUCGGCGCCGGCCGGUCAGGUCCACACCCAUGGCCAUGGCCAUGGUCCAAUUCAUCAAAGCAGAUUACAACAACAAGCUGCCCAAACAGUAGCUCCUACAGUAGUAGUAGUCCAGCCUCUCUUCUUCCUCAUCUCUGAAUCAUAAAAAGAAACGCAAAACCGCGAAGCUUCCUCCCAUCUCUUCUUCCUCUUGCAUUUGCACAUAUCAUAUCCAAGCUUUCUUUACUCACACUAGCAGCUCAGCUUAGCUUAGCUACGAGCUCUGCAUGCCAACACCACCUCGUACCCACUAGCCGUAGCAGAACAGCGAGCAGCGCCAUGAGCAACAUGUUCGGGGCCGGCGGCCAUGGAGGUGGCGGUGGGGAGCAGCAUGGAGGNNNNN